Molecule: transfer RNA, 75 nt
Filed under: Megacopta lobata
Lineage: Eukaryota; Metazoa; Arthropoda; Insecta; Hemiptera; Plataspidae
Description: tRNA-Ser
Source: RNAcentral
AGUCAAUAAGUUUAACCUAAGCCAAACCCUAUACCUUGAAAGUAUAGUAAGAAAGUUGGAAUCUUUCAUUGACUU